UAGACCGCCUGGGGAGUACGGCCGCAAGGUUAAAACUCAAAUGAAUUGACGGGGGCCCGCACAAGCGGUGGAGCAUGUGGUUUAAUUCGAUGCAACGCGAAGAACCUUACCUGGUCUUGACAUCCACGGAAGAAUCCAGAGAUGGAUUUGUGCCUUCGGGAACCGUGAGACAGGUGCUGCAUGGCUGUCGUCAGCUCGUGUUGUGAAAUGUUGGGUUAAGUCCCGCAACGAGCGCAACCCUUAUCCUUUGUUGCCAGCGAUUAGGUCGGGAACUCAAAGGAGACUGCCAGUGAUAAACUGGAGGAAGGUGGGGAUGACGUCAAGUCAUCAUGGCCCUUACGACCAGGGCUACACACGUGCUACAAUGGCGCAUACAAAGAGAAGCGACCUCGCGAGAGCAAGCGGACCUCAUAAAGUGCGUCGUAGUCCGGAUUGGAGUCUGCAACUCGACUCCAUGAAGUCGGAAUCGCUAGUAAUCGUGGAUCAGAAUGCCACGGUGAAUACGUUCCCGGGCCUUGUACACACCGCCCGUCACACCAUGGGAGUGGGUUGCAAAAGAAGUAGGUAGCUUAACCUUCGGGAGGGCGCUUACCACUUUGUGAUUCAUGACUGGGGUGAAGUCGUAACAAGGUAACCGUAGGGGAACCUGCGGUUGGAUCACCUCCUUACCUGAAAGAAGC
RNAcentral lists this ribosomal RNA (680 nucleotides) under Salmonella enterica. Its description in RNAcentral is "bacterial SSU rRNA". It matches the Rfam family "Bacterial small subunit ribosomal RNA", at positions 865 to 1533 of the family's 1533-position model. The record is from RNAcentral. Lineage: Bacteria; Pseudomonadati; Pseudomonadota; Gammaproteobacteria; Enterobacterales; Enterobacteriaceae.